RNAcentral lists this transfer RNA (69 nucleotides) under Ictidomys tridecemlineatus (thirteen-lined ground squirrel). RNAcentral's name for it is "Spermophilus tridecemlineatus (thirteen-lined ground squirrel) tRNA". It matches the Rfam family "tRNA". From Rfam's summary of the family: Transfer RNA (tRNA) molecules are approximately 80 nucleotides in length. Lineage: Eukaryota; Metazoa; Chordata; Mammalia; Rodentia; Sciuridae. The record is from Rfam by way of RNAcentral.
GGGGAUGUGGCUCAAGUGGUAGCGCGCCCGUCUAGCAUGCGCGAGGCCUGGGUUCGAUCCCCAGCACCA